AAUGAAUCUGAAGUCUGAUUAAACUCACAGUGUCCUUGUGACGGAGAUGGGAAGAGACAGAGUAUUUUGUCUAAUUUCAAGUUCAAGAAAGCAAGGAACACAAAAGUUAAGUGGCUGGUGUCCAUUUAUUCAAGUAAAUUUAUUCAGAAGUUGAGCCAGAAAUAAAGAUCAAGUCUCCUGGCCCAUGCACUAGGCCCCAUGCUGCCUCACAGCUUUCAAAACCAUCAUUUUCUUGGGAAAUGCUAAAAAGCUUUCCCCUACCAUACAUACUAGAUUCAGACACACUGCCAUCUACUGACCCACCAAAGGAUGUGCCAGCAUAAGACAUCCUGACCUUCAAGGGAGGGAGGAACACCUUGAGAGGAGUUGAGAUCCUGCUUUCUCUUCAGAAUACCAUCUCCAGGAUGCCAAUGGGUUGUGUCUACAGUACUAUGUAGGAAAGUGCUGCAAGAGGUCAUGAGACCUUCAUGUGAGAGCUGCUCUCCCUGUACCUUGAGGAAAGAAACCUCUUUCUCUCUGAAGAUGAACAGUCACACAGAAGGAUCACUCUUCUAUGCUGUGCUGGCCCAGACCCGGCCCUCUCCAGCCAGGAAACAUAAAAUACAGAAAGUCAUAAAACCCAGAAGUUUGAUUUGGUACCGAAAUGCCAUCACCCAUGGGUAUAUAUUAUACUGUAUGACUAGUUAA
This is a long non-coding RNA of Papio anubis (olive baboon), 687 nucleotides long. Lineage: Eukaryota; Metazoa; Chordata; Mammalia; Primates; Cercopithecidae. The record is from Ensembl.